UACAGAGGUCCCAAGCGUUGUUCGGAUUCACUGGGCGUAAAGGGUGCGUAGGUGGCGGGGUAAGUUUGAUGUGAAAUCUCCAAGCUUAACUUGGAAACUGCAUUGAAUACUAUCUCGCUCGAGGUUUGGAGGGGGGACUGGAAUUCUCGGUGUAGCAGUGAAAUGCGUAGAUAUCGAGAGGAACACCAGUGGCGAAGGCGAGUCCCUGGACAACACCUGACACUGAGGCACGAAAGCUAGGGGAGCAAACAGG
This 253-nucleotide ribosomal RNA is filed under the name uncultured bacterium. RNAcentral describes it as "partial 16S ribosomal RNA". It matches the Rfam family "Bacterial small subunit ribosomal RNA", at positions 524 to 776 of the family's 1533-position model. The record is from RNAcentral.